UAGGAAAUACACUUAAUCUAAGCAAGGGGCCUUGGGGCAUUAGAGAUGGUAUACAACCGUUGGAACGUAAUUUAGGCACAUUAUGAAUGUAGUCAUUUAUGUAUGCAAGUGUUUUGAUUUCUCUUUAUAUUCUUCUAAGUGUAGGGAUAUUCUGAUUAUCCAUUUGAAGUGAAUGAUCAUUUAAAACUUGUGGUGAUUGCUCGUCAAAACUUGAUGUUAGAGAUGGUUCUAAACGUGAAUGACUAUCAGAAAGAUAAUUGUUGUAAGGUGAUAUAGUUGGGAUACUAAUAGGUGACAAUUCAUUGUCCAUGUGACUUGCACCAUAUGGAUUAUAAUUGUUGUAAGGUGAUAUAGUUGGGUACU
RNAcentral lists this long non-coding RNA (363 nucleotides) under Nicotiana benthamiana. RNAcentral's name for it is "long non-coding RNA (NBEN_LNC006080)". Lineage: Eukaryota; Viridiplantae; Streptophyta; Magnoliopsida; Solanales; Solanaceae. The record is from RNAcentral.